This 913-nucleotide ribosomal RNA is filed under the name Microbacterium sp. C9(2013). RNAcentral's name for it is "bacterial SSU rRNA". It matches the Rfam family "Bacterial small subunit ribosomal RNA", at positions 61 to 985 of the family's 1533-position model. Lineage: Bacteria; Bacillati; Actinomycetota; Actinomycetes; Micrococcales; Microbacteriaceae. The record is from RNAcentral.
GUCGACGGUGAAACGGAGCUUGCUCUGUGGGAUCAGUGGCGAACGGGUGAGUAACACGUGAGCAACCUGCCCCUGACUCUGGGAUAAGCGCUGGAAACGGCGUCUAAUACUGGAUAUGUGACGUGAUCGCAUGGUCUGCGUCUGGAAAGAAUUUCGGUUGGGGAUGGGCUCGCGGCCUAUCAGCUUGUUGGUGAGGUAAUGGCUCACCAAGGCGUCGACGGGUAGCCGGCCUGAGAGGGUGACCGGCCACACUGGGACUGAGACACGGCCCAGACUCCUACGGGAGGCAGCAGUGGGGAAUAUUGCACAAUGGGCGCAAGCCUGAUGCAGCAACGCCGCGUGAGGGAUGACGGCCUUCGGGUUGUAAACCUCUUUUAGCAGGGAAGAAGCGAAAGUGACGGUACCUGCAGAAAAAGCGCCGGCUAACUACGUGCCAGCAGCCGCGGUAAUACGUAGGGCGCAAGCGUUAUCCGGAAUUAUUGGGCGUAAAGAGCUCGUAGGCGGUUUGUCGCGUCUGCUGUGAAAUCCGGAGGCUCAACCUCCGGCCUGCAGUGGGUACGGGCAGACUAGAGUGCGGUAGGGGAGAUUGGAAUUCCUGGUGUAGCGGUGGAAUGCGCAGAUAUCAGGAGGAACACCGAUGGCGAAGGCAGAUCUCUGGGCCGUAACUGACGCUGAGGAGCGAAAGGGUGGGGAGCAAACAGGCUUAGAUACCCUGGUAGUCCACCCCGUAAACGUUGGGAACUAGUUGUGGGGUCCAUUCCACGGAUUCCGUGACGCAGCUAACGCAUUAAGUUCCCCGCCUGGGGAGUACGGCCGCAAGGCUAAAACUCAAAGGAAUUGACGGGGACCCGCACAAGCGGCGGAGCAUGCGGAUUAAUUCGAUGCAACGCGAAGAACCUUACCAAGGCUUGAC